This 1135-nucleotide long non-coding RNA is filed under the name Equus asinus (donkey). Its description in RNAcentral is "lncRNA (ENSEASG00005026670.1)". Lineage: Eukaryota; Metazoa; Chordata; Mammalia; Perissodactyla; Equidae. The record is from RNAcentral.
AUUAGCUGCCCUCUCUCCUUGCUCAGUGCUGUGCAAAAAUAAAAUUCCUACUUUCUUCCACCACACCCAGAGUCAUAGAUUGGCUUGCUGUGCAACGAGUGAGCGAACUCACUUCAGGUUUGGUAACAAUUUGGUGACCCAGAUGGGACAAUGUCUCAGGUGGACGUCUCACCUGGGGCACACCGGCCUCUGGCUAAAGGCCUCUCUUGGAAGCUGUCCUGCAGCUGCCUGAGCCCCUUGUCUCAGGGACAGCCCCAAGCGACUGGCUGCUAACCAGACGAUGUUGGCCCACGAUGCUUUUGCUUUGGUGGUGGAAGAAACUAGGUUUAGGACUCAGGAAGACGUCUCUUGACACAAUUGGAAACACUGGUUAUAUUACCAAGGCUUUGACUGGAACAUCAUAUUUGAAAAAACAUACCGGCUUAAAUAUUACAAGACAGCUUUUGAGGAAUGAAGGUUGACAUUCCGGAAUAAAGCCACUUGGAAAUAUUGGCCUGGUACUGUGCUUAUGGGUUCUGUAACCUGAAAAUCUUCUUAUUAAAUACCUUGUUACUUACUUACAUGAUACAGCCCUACCUUCAGGAGCCCACCAGCAUCACCGCCUUUUUAAAAGACUGGUUCAAUGAGAUAAAACAACCUACACCCCAUUUCAGCAGGAAGUAGCUAGAUCGGUCGCUGCCCCAAAUCCCUAAAGAUUGACGGAUGGACAUAAAAUAGGGGGAGUUGAUACCGACCCUGAUAUCAGUUUCCCCACAUUAAACCCAGCAUAUAUGGGGUUAAAACCAAAACACUCAUUCCCUGCUUACUCUCUGGCUUCCUGGCUCCAGAAUCCACUAUCCUCCAUGGAGACAGACACCAUCAAGGACAAGCACCUGGACUAGCUCCUCCCGCAAAGAGAUGCGGGCUGGUGGGAAAGCUGCUGACCAGCAAGGUCAUGAGCUCCCUCCUCUCUGCAAGUAGUCUCAAGGCCAAAGACAGGCUGGUGGGAAAGCUCCGACCAGCAAGGCCAUAUGCUCCCCCUCCCCUACCUAAAACCCCAAAUAAGAACCCUUCCUUUCAGCUUUUCGGGGAGUUUGAGAUUUGAGCAUUAGCUGCCCUCUCUCCUUGCUCAGCGUUGUGCAAAAAUAAAAUUCCU